UGGGGAAUAUUGGACAAUGGGCGCAAGCCUGAUCCAGCCAUGCCGCGUGAGUGAUGAAGGCCUUAGGGUUGUAAAGCUCUUUUGUCCGGGAAGAUAAUGACUGUACCGGAAGAAUAAGCCCCGGCUAACUUCGUGCCAGCAGCCGCGGUAAUACGAAGGGGGCUAGCGUUGCUCGGAAUCACUGGGCGUAAAGGGCGCGUAGGCGGACUUUUAAGUCGGAGGUGAAAGCCCAGGGCUCAACCCUGGAAUUGCCUUCGAUACUUGGGCAGUCUUGAGUUCGGAAGAGGUUGGUGGAACUGCGAGUGUAGAGGUGAAAUUCGUAGAUAUUCGCAAGAACACCGGUGGCGAAGGCGGCCAACUGGUCCGAAACUGACGCUGAGGCGCGAAAAGCGUGGGGAGCAAACAGGAUUAGAUACCCCUGGUAGUCCACGCCCGUAAAACGAUGAAUGCCAGCCGUUGGGGAGCUUGCUCUUCAGUGGCGCAGCUAAACGCUUUUAAGCAUUUCCGCCUGGGGGAGUACGGUCGCAAGAUUAAAAACUCAAAGGAAUUGACGGGGUCAUAGCUGUUUU
RNAcentral lists this ribosomal RNA (569 nucleotides) under uncultured bacterium. Its description in RNAcentral is "partial 16S ribosomal RNA". It matches the Rfam family "Bacterial small subunit ribosomal RNA", at positions 355 to 936 of the family's 1533-position model. The record is from RNAcentral.